AUAUAUAUAUAACAAUGAGCAUCUGUCGGGUAUAUCGUAUAUGACAGU
Molecule: non-coding RNA, 48 nt
Filed under: Trypanosoma brucei brucei
Lineage: Eukaryota; Euglenozoa; Kinetoplastea; Trypanosomatida; Trypanosomatidae
Source: RNAcentral